Felis catus (domestic cat) is the source of this 6465-nucleotide long non-coding RNA. RefSeq lists it as uncharacterized. NCBI's taxonomy places the organism in Eukaryota, Metazoa, Chordata, Mammalia, Carnivora, Felidae. The record is from RefSeq and is a predicted model, not a curated record. The transcript is spliced from 2 exons.
CCCUGUUCAUGCUCUGUCUCUCUCUGUCUCAAAAAUAAAUAAACGUUAAAAAAAAAAUGAAAAAAAAAAGAAUAUCAAGUAAAUAACAAACUUCUAUAUUAGGAUAAGACAAUAAAUUUUGUCUAUUCUUUAAAUAUAAAGGUACCCUUAAUUUUAUGAUUCAGUCUUUAUUUCAUCUGUGACUUACAGGUCUAGAUCAUUAUUGUGAUUUCCCCUUUUUUACAUCAAAAACUGCCCCACCCCCAAAAUCUUUUCUUGCCUUGCAUUCAGUUUGUUAACCACACCUCACUGGUCAUUUUUACUUAACAGUAAAAGACUUCCCAGUAGGUUUUAACUUCUUUCCUGAUUUUUUGGUUUAGAUUGAUCAAUUGCAGUGUAUUUUACAGGGCUGUUGGUUUUCUUUUACUUUGUUUCUGCAAGGAGGGGGAAGGUGGGUUUUACUGAACUUCAGUCACAUCAUUGUUUCUCCUCUGACCUCCUAAAGUCCUCUGGUUUCUACAUUCUUUCCCCUUCUCCCUUGGUGUCCUCCAGUGCUGUGUCUUUAACCUUCUUUCUUCCCCAUCCUUUGAGCAGAGUCUUCUAUGUCCAGGACUCCAGCUGUUUCCCACCUCUGACAAGGACUCCAGUACCCCUAUCUCUAACCAGAGGCACCCUACCAAAUACCACAUGUGUAUUUUCCAAGUGCUUCCAGAUGUCCUGUCCAGAAUAGUUUGAGGAUAAUGCAAAUGUAAACUUUUGUUCUUCUCUCAAUCUGCUCUUGGUCUUGUCUUACCUUCAUUUUGGUCACCAACAUUCUUCAAGCCUCUGAAGCUAAUAUCCUUGAAAAAUCCUUUAAAAUCCUUUGGAUCUUUCAUUAUAUCCAGUCUGCUCCUAAAUCCCAUCGAUUCACUCCUGGGUGUCUCUCAAAUCCACUAGCUCCUUUCUGUUUCCACAGUUGGCACCGUAUUGGAUCCCUCUUUACCUUCCCUUGGACCCAGCAAUAAUCUCUUUGGUUUCCCUAUCCCCACUCUUUCUCUGAUCUAUUUAUCUAAAUCUUCAUGAAGAUACUUAUGCAUAAAAGCUUUCCAGUCUGACAUUCAAGGGCUUCCACAUUCUGAUUGCCCACCUGCAAUCAAAAUAUCUAUUUUAAAAGCCACCCUUGUCCAGGAAUCCUUUAUUGACAUCACUCAUCAACAGAUCGUCUUUUUAAAUAUAUAUUUUUUUAUUUUAGAAUAAUUUUAGAUUUCCAGGAAAAUUUCAAAAUUAGUACAGAGUUGCCAUACACCCUUCAUGCAUUUUUCUCUAUUACUAGCAAUUUACAUUAGUAUAGUGCAUUUGUCACAAUCAAUAAACCAAUAUUGAUACAUUAUUAUUAAAUAAAAUCUGUACUUUACUCAGAUUUCCUUACUUUUGCCUGAUGUCAUUUUUAGUUACAGGAUCCUACUUAGGAGACCACAUUACAUUUAGUCAUCAUGUUUCCCUAGGUUCUGUGAUAGUUAAUUUAAUGGGCACACAUUAUUCUGGGUGUUUUUGUUUGGAUGGUUUUAUUUUUGCUUUCCUGUUUGUUUUUUGUGCUGAAACCCCAGAACAAACCAACUAGGUGUUUCUGUGAGGGUGCUUUUGGAUGAGAAGAACAUUUAAAGCAGUAGACUGACUAAAGCAAAUUGGCCUCCCAAUGUGGUCGGCCUCGUCCAAUCAGUUGAGGGCUUGAACACACCAAAAGGGUAACUCUCCCCCAAGUAACAUAGAAUUUCCUCUGUCUGACAACCUUUGAACUGGGACAUCAGCUCUUCCUGGUUCUACAGAAGUCUGGCAGCCUUUUGGACUUGAACUGGGACAUGUAUUGGUUGUGCAGAUUUUGAACUUGCUAGCCUUCAUGAUUGUAGGAGCCAAUUCUUUAUAAUUAAUUCAUUUGUGUGAGUUUGAGUGUGUGUGUGUGUGUGUGUGUGUGUGUGUGUGUGUGUGGUGUAGGCUUAGUCUAUUCAGAUUGGUAUUCAUACCUCAGACUGGACUGUGUGUCUUCUAAACAACAGAAAUUUAUUGUUUAUAGUGCUGGAGGCUGGGAAGUCUGAGAUCAAGACAUCAGCAUGGUCAUGUGGUCAUGCUCUGGUGAGGGCCUUCCUGGUUCACAUCUGUCUCCUUACAUGGUGAAGAGAGCAAGGGAUCUUUGCAGGGUCUCUUUUUUCAGAUAACUAAUCCCAUUCGUGCAGCCUCAACCCUCAUGACAUAAGUACCUCCAAAAGCCCCACAUCCUAAUAUCAUCAUCUUCAAGGGUUAGGAUUUCAGCAUACAGAUUUGGUGAGGAUGCAAACAUUUACACCCUAGUGUUUUGGUUUCGUCGUUGUGGAGAAUUUUGGCUAAUACAGGCUCCUCUUGGCUGUGAUAGUUUCUCAGACUUUCCUUCUUUCUGAUGACAUUUGCGGAGUACAAUGCCCUUCAGACUGGCUUUGUCUAGUGUUUUUCUCAUGGCUAGACGGCUUGUGGGUCUUUGGAGGAAGGCUGCCGAGGCGAAAUGCCUUCAUCACAUCCACCGUGUGUAUUUUCAACAUGAUUUAUCACGAUAGUGUUACCCUUGCUCACCUACCUGGCUGAGGUCAUUUCUGCCAGGUUCCUCCACUGUCAAGCUACUUUCUCCCCUCUGCCCAUACUCUACCCCCUGGAAGCACGUUACUAAGCUCACCCACACCCCCGUGGUGGGGAUUAGAUGCUGGACCCUUGACAGGAAGUACCUACAUGAAAUACCUACAUGGAAUUCUUCUGUAUGUGAGGUUCGUCUCUCCCUCCUAUUAUUUACUUAUUCAAGCAUUUAUUUAUGUUAGUAUAGACUCGUGGAUGUUUAUUUUAGACUUUGGAUUACAAUCCAAUACUGCGUUAUUUGUGUGGUUGCUCAAAUUGUUUCAGUGCUGGCCAUUGGGAACUCCUUCAGGUUGGCUUCUUAUUCUAUUACUUUGAAAAAUACCACGUUGCAGUUUAUCUUGUCCUUAACUACAUGCUUGACUAAGCCUCACCAUUAAUCAUGAAUUCAUUGUAUUCAUCUUCAUUCUCUGCAAUGACCAAAGCAUGUACCUAUUCAUUAAUUUGUUCAUUUGUACAACUAACGUCUCCCACCAUGUGGCUGCAUGCUAUAAGGAGUGAGGACUUGGCAGUGAUGAGGUCCAGUGUCACAGAGCUUUUACUGUCUCAUGGGGAAUAAACACACACACACACACACACACACACACACACACACACACAGAGAAACGUGUAUUGAUAGAAAUCGUAAUUAGUGCUAUAUAAGAAAAACAACAUGGGUGCGAUGAGAGAAAAUGGUGGGGGAACCUGCCUCAGAAAAAAACCUUCUCUGUGGGCAUGGGACAUAAGGUGAGAGUUGGAGGGUGAGCGAGAGAUGGGCCAUGAGCAGAGGAAAAUUCCAUGCAGAGGGCAGAUAGAAAUUUCCCAAAGUAAAAAGGAGAUUACAGUGUAAAUGAUAAAUAUUUUCCAAACUAAAUUGCCCAAAUUUAAGUUUUAUUUUAAUUGGUACUAUCCACUGGUUCCUUUAAGCAGUAGAUGAGAAUCUUGGUCAUGGUCUGUGUUACCGUGAUUCAUGCCAGUCACUAAUACAAUCCAUAAUGUCUCUGACAUAUCUCAAUGGCAGGGUUAUAUCUCAUGCACAUCACAGCCUAACAAAGAGUUUAGUCAGUCCGGUCUCCAAGUGGUGAACCCAGAUAGUUUGACCUCUUCUAUUGUGUGGCUCCAGAUUCUGAAACCUUCACUCCAGAGCAGAGUGAGGGGGGUGUGGUGGGAGUGGGAGGUGCAUUGGGGGAUCUCAACGGUUUUCAGAGGCAGAGAAGGUGGUCACAUCCCUUUCAUCUGCAUUCCGUUGGCAAUAAGUCACAUGACCUCAUUUCUUUUGUAUGUGUAGAAAACAUGUUUUAACAGAAAAGACCUAUAGUUCUAUCUCUUCUCGGCAGCCACAGCAGCCUGGUUGGCCUUUGACACGAAGUCCAAGGUGGUAGAGGUAAAUUAUGGGCAAUUAAGAAACUUACUGCAAUAUGGGAAUACACCAUGGGAAGUGGUGCAGCCCUCAUGGGCCUGAAUCUUCAGUCAAUCCAGGUUCACAGGGCUUGUUGUCCAGACCGUUGGCCUGACCUGGCUGUACUUUUCCGUUCCUCACCUCCUGUCUUCUCAAGACCCAGUCUUCGAUCCUGUACUGGUGUGGAUUGUGCAUAAUGGUGAUCACAUGCCCCACCCCAUCCUCAGUGAGCUCUCCUGAACUGUUGAUGAGGUUGACAUCUGCUUUCCCACACAGCACAUGCGCAUAUCUGGGACCAUACCCUCAACUGCGGCGACGGCAAAGACUAUUUUCCACCGCCCAUCGGUGUUGGUGCGGAGGGCCCACAACAGCGCUGGAGCUUCUCAGGGGUCACCAGAGACAGGGCAGCAGCCCCUCCUGUGGAAGACAAAAACACAACACUGUCUCUGCCACAUGUUUCACAGUGUGACGCAUGCAGAGAGUCUUGAGGAACACUAUGGUAAAAAUACUUUUGAAAUGACUGAAGAGUUACUUGCAUGCAUUUCAAGCUGUCAUGGUUAUCUCAUUUAGAGAUAGAAGACAGCUGUUUUCCUUGAGCCCCGAAUGUGUCCCCUACCACCUUCUCUGGCAUUGGGAAGGCCUCCAAGCCCCUGGUCAUUUCUCACCAGUCAAGCUUCCCACAGUGCUGUUCACACUUUCCUCAAGGUUGCAUCUCACAGGACCCAAGUUUAGCUAUUGCUUUUAGAAGGCACAGUGAAUCAUCCCCUUCAGCAAAUAUCAAAUGCGCUAUGCCCUCUGCAAAUGUCCUACCAUCUCCGCUGCUGAGCCAGAAGAAGAAAAGCCAGGAAUGGGAGGACUUCGUUGUAAGCAACCAUCGUUAUUUAUUCCAGGCCUAAUGGUGGAGUCAGAUACAGAAAACAGCUCUACCAGUUAUGUCUGGGAAAGAGUAGUGGCUUUAGAGUUGAAAGAAUGAAUUUGACACAUCUGGAUCCUAGACCUAUUGAGUGACCUUGGGCUAGUCAUCAAUUCUAAACAUGUAUUAAGCACCUACUAUCAGCCAAGUACAUAAGAAUGGAGGUUGUAAAGUAAAUUAUGAGCCAUCAAGGGACUUACUGCAUUGCAGUAUGGGAAAUGUUUUCUCAUUCCCCUGAUGGGUCUACCCUGGCCCACAGUGGAAAGGAUGUCUGUCCCCUCUAUCUUGUAACCAUUGCCAACUUCAACAUCUGGAUGCUUUUACUGCUGCUCUCACCAGUCGAAUUGAUGCCUCACAAGAGCCUGUUUCUUUACAUUGCUGACUUCCAAAAUAAGGUCUCAGAUGGAUGAGCUUGACCGGGGCACCUACGUGAUAGGUCUGUGGUUUAGUUGUAAAGAAGGCCAGGAAAAGGAGGGUGCAAUUUUUUUCUUAAUUUUCCAACUACUAGAUGGGCAUUUAAAAUGUGCCAGGCAGAAAAUAUGGUACAUAAAAAGAUUUCCAAAUGGCACUGAAGAACCACUUGAUCUUUCAUGGAGGCCAUGCUUUUGUUUUGGCAUGAUGGUGAAAUCGCUGUCAGGUGUUCUGAGCAAAGACAGACAGGAACAUAGACCAGGGAUGGUUUGGUCCUGGGUUUGCCACAUUGGGAUAGUUGCAGCAGAAGAACAAGGCUACUAGAUGUCAAGUGGCCUAGAAAGAGGUAAGUAAUGAUGUUCUCAAUGAAUAGGGAGAGCAGAUGGUAACAAGAAUGAGAAUAGUUUUCUGGAAUUUAAGAUCUCAAGCAUUAUGCAAUUCUGAGUAAUCAUCUGGUGUAGGAAUGUGGAUAAGUGUCCCCUUGGUUGCACUGUGUUGAGAUGGUACCCUACCUAGGUCAGGGGAAAGAAUAAUAUGACAUCUCGAGUAUCACUUGACUUGUUCAGUGUAUUUCAAUCACCUUUUCCUUAAGAACUAGACCCAAAUCCUUCAGGAGCUGGUCUGGAGACACCCGAGUGACAACCUAAAGUUUUGCGUACAAAGUUCUCUAUUUCUGGGACAAGUUUUCAGGCAAAUGCAAAGGGAAAUAAGCAUUCCAAUGAGAGGGAUCUAUCAGAAGAAAGUCUUGUAUGGACCAUCUUAUGAGACAGGAAUAUAGUAAAGAGCUGGAAAAGAAACUUCUCCAGGUAGCAUCACAUUAGGGAGUAAGGUUCAUGGUGUCAGCCUCUUAGAAACUGGAACUGAACAAUUCUAAUGUGGAACUGAACAGAUCACUGGUGAUGGACUGACAAUAACUAGAAUCACUUGAGACUAGGUGUAAAAUCAUGCCACACUGUGGUAAGGAUACGACAAAGUCUCUAUAAACCCUCAAAAUGUCCCCUUUGCAGUCAACCCCUCCCUCACCCCUUAGCCCCUGAUGGCCACUGAUCGCUUCUCUAUCCCUCUAGUUUGCUUUUUCCAGAAUGCCAUAUAAAUGGAAUGCAAUAUGUAGUCUUUUGAAUCUAGGCAAUAUACAGUGAAGAUUCAUCAA